This 82-nucleotide non-coding RNA is filed under the name Gracilibacillus kekensis. Its description in RNAcentral is "ZTP sequence". It matches the Rfam family "ZMP/ZTP riboswitch aptamer (pfl RNA motif)". From Rfam's summary of the family: Previously known as pfl RNA. ZMP is also known as AICAR. Lineage: Bacteria; Bacillati; Bacillota; Bacilli; Caryophanales; Bacillaceae. The record is from Rfam by way of RNAcentral.
ACGACUAUGUGUAACUGGCGAGGUGCGGAUCGAACCGCAAGGGAGCACAUAGUGUCGAUAGCCGCUCGCCUGGGCAAAGGUA